RNAcentral lists this long non-coding RNA (17689 nucleotides) under Setaria italica (foxtail millet). Its description in RNAcentral is "long non-coding RNA (SITA_LNC007056)". The record is from RNAcentral. Lineage: Eukaryota; Viridiplantae; Streptophyta; Magnoliopsida; Poales; Poaceae.
UCCAUUUGCCCGAUCGCAGCAGAAGUCUCCGUCACCUUCUCUGCCCUCUCGUCCUCCGUCUUGGCCUUAAGGAUGCCAAUCCAUGCCGGACAUAGCUUGUCGUCGACGAAGGCGGCCCAGAAGCGAGCAGUGGCGCGCUCGUAGAGAUCGGUGGGGAGUAUGGACGGGCCGGCAAACAGCUCGUCGACGUACUGCACGAUGACGAGCGAUUCACACAGCGGCUUACCGUUGUGGAUGAGCACGGGGACCUUCUUGUGCACCGGGUUGGACUUGAGCAGGAGCUCGCUCUUGUUGAACAGGUCCUGCUCGACGUACUCGUAGCUCACGCCCUUCGUGCUCAACGCCAUGCGCACCCGGAUCACGAACGGGCUCACCAGCAGGCCGAGCAGCUUCAGAUCCUCCUUGCCUGCCAUUGUAUUCUUCUCUCAGUGUUUUCCUCCACUGACUCUUGGCUUGUGACUAAUUCUUGCUAUCUUGCUGUCUGUGUGCAGGACUUCACAGUUUGGGCGUUUAUAUAGCAGGUCGCGUGUACUUAGUCUACAUGAGAUUUUUUAUUGCAGACAUCGACGCUGAUAUUGCGGCGGCUGGCGACAGGCAAGUUGGUGGUCAUGUUCUUCUGCAGCUCACUGACGAAGCUUCAUUUUGCAAUCAGACGCUAACCAGCAGUGGACUUUUAUUUUUAUCUUCCCUAAUGAUGCUGUGAGACUGGCAGUGACAGCGGUUGGCAUUACCGUCUCUCUCUACUUUGAUUCAGUUAUGUGGAAUGAUUAUCCAUUUGAUACUUACUCCGCAAGUCCACAGAUACAAGUACUCUGAUAGGCGUGCUAGUAGGGCGGGUGGGUUGUAUUAUUGUUGUAACGUCGGGUGUGUCUGAAUGUGUCAAAAUGGAUUUUAGUGUCUAAUGAUUUGGGGUGGGCUGGGUUUAUCGCAAAUGCAGGGUGGGACGGGUUGGAAGUGGUUUCUUUUUCUUUGGAUUUGUAUGGGUUUAACUCAUAUGUUUAAGUUUCAGGUUUGACUCCUGACGUGGGAUCCAUAAGUAGAUUUAGUCACACUACUUUACACAAAGUACAAGACUGUCAAAUUCAAUCAUCUCCCACAAUUUUAAUCAACUUUGCUCAAAUUUUAAGGUGUCAAAUUUUAAGUUUUAGGGGUCAUCUCUUAACGCGAGGUCCACGUAUAAGUCUAGCCAUACUACUUUGCAUAAAGUAGUGGAAUAUCAAAUUGAGUUAUUUCUAACAUAUUUUAGUAACAUUUUCUAAAUUUUAAAGCGUGAAUGUAAGGUUUUAGUUCCAGGGUUUGGUUCUCAAUGUAGGAAAAAGUUUAUUUUUGACCAUCGAACUAUAGCCUCGGUUUGGUUUCGACUAUCGAACUCGAAAAUCAGAAAUCUUUAACCACUUAACUGUAUAAACCGUGUACUAAUGUCCAUCGCGUCUUGUUUUGACUCUCUUUGAGUUGUUUUGACUACCACGUCAGAUCGACCGGCCAUGUCACCAUGCUGACUCAGAAUAGGCCCACAUGUCAUGUCAUAUGCCUUAGAAAGGCAUCCACCUGUUUAGGGAUGGCAAUCGGACGGGUCUGGACCCGAGAUCCACGGGUUUCAGACCCGACGGGGGUGGGGGCGAGGGCGGGUCCGGAAUAGUUCCAUGCGGCAUCGGGCUCGUGCGUUUGGUAGCCUGCUGAACGGGGGAUUUAAAGCCCAACCAAGCUCAAUUACCUCACGGAAAACACCCGGCCUAGAGACAUCAGGCGGCCUUUCCUGCCUCCCUGUCGUCUCCUCCACUCGACGACUCACGCGAGCGAGAGGCGCCGCCCGCUCCUGCAGGAAGCUACCGCCACCGCCGAAGCUCCUGGCUCCCGCACGACCUCCUCCAAGAACCAGGUCUAGGUGCGCCUUGUCCACCCCUUCUCCCCAUCUCAUCUGAAUCCGAAUCCUCCCCUUCCCCAUCUCAUCUCCCUUUCCUUGCUAGGGUUCUGCUCCGAUGACAGCUAAGUUCCAUGGUGGCGAACUUGCUAGAUCCGCAGGAGUAUCUCCCUCCUCUCACUAGGCUACAGUCUCCUCCCUGCUCCCGCAUCCGUCGUGAAGUGCUGCUGCAGGCCUGCAUCAGCACCACAGACUGCGUGGCUGAGCCUUUUUUUUCUUGGUAAGGAACCAUAUCUUCUUGAACAAAUUGUUCUUUCUUUGCUUGGUAAUUAGCUGGAGUGCUCCAUGGGUUAGUUUUGUUGGCCUUUCUUGUACUCGAGAUUAUAUUUGAGAAAUCAAGUAUCUAGAAAUUGCUAUUGUACAGCACCUGAUUCGCUGACUCGCUGUCGCUAGCCUCUUGGGAAUUCAUUCUAUCAAGCAUGGUUUUUUUUUCCUAGAACAUUCUUUGCUAUAGAAACUAGAUUUCUGUUUCUAACAAAUGGAAAUAGGAUGCCCCAGUUUCAAAGGGAUCGAUCUGUUAGUCUAGCAUUCUAGCAUGUUCCUGAAUUUCAUGGUUUUGUAGCUAUUGCACUUGUGUUUAGGGAUCUGUCAUGCGCUAUGUUUUGGGAAUUUGUUCUUGGAGUCCCUGUGCUUUUGAUCUGCCAAUUCAUUGUUGAUUUAUUCAGAAGCUAUAAGAGAUGUGUGCUGCAAUUUUUGACAAGCUAAAUCUUAAUCCUUUCAAUCCUGCAACCAAUUUAUAUUUUUUCUAUCAGUAGCACUAGGUGGUGCCAUUAGUGAAUUUUGGUGAUUAAUAGCCAUAAGUGAAUUUUUAUGAUUAUUAUUAAUAAAAAUUUAUUGAAGGCUUCUUAAUUAGAAUAACUAUAACUGUUAAUUGAUUCUAUGUUCUGAGGUCUAAAUAUUAACAUUAUCUCCCUGGUCUCUGCACACCACGUCCAGGACAUUGGGCAUUAGCUCUAUAACACUUUAUAAAAUUCUCUUAUAAUUUUUUUACUUGUCUACAUAGUGCACACCACAUUCAGUCAUAUUAGAGUUCAGAAAAUGAUCCUACUAACAAACUUUUGUCCCGUGUUGAAGAAGCUACUAGCAAACUUGUGGCGGUAGCUUCUUCGGCUCAGCUGCUCGGCUAGUUUUUCUUCUUUGAAUUUCUAGCUGUUCGGUUUAGAGCACCUCAACAUAGAUUCAUUUAUAUGUAGCUUGUAGCUUGUAGAAUAUCCAAUUCUUCUGUCACUAGAAACUACUGUACAAUAUCCAAUUCUUCUAUCACUUGUAGCUUUGAUCUUGGAUGCAUAUAAUGUUUGGUUUUAUUUCUGAGCUAGGCUGAAGCCAUAUUUCCAUAUGAUCUUUGGACUCGUUGGAGGAGGAAGAAAAGGAUGAUAAGCUAUCCUUUGUACUUGUUGCUGCUAUAUUCUGUACCGGCUUUAUUGUUUGUCGAGCUACUACUGCCAGCGCCACUAGUGGUCAUUAGAUGGCCAGCACCAUUUCCACCAUUUCCCUACGUGAUUGGCAUAUUUGAUAUGAUGCAUUCUAGGAUGUGCUACUGCUUGAUAUAAUAUGACUUGAUGCAAUUUUGUGCAUAUUGGUUAUAAUUAGGGUUCUUUGUUGUUUUCUUUUUCUGAACAAGAUAUAUCAAGUGCUAUGGUCUGUUUUCAAGUGAAUAGGAAAUUAUUAUCUAGCUUGUAAUCUAUCGUUUGUCUUCUUGGUUUGACAUUUAGACUUUUUAGCUCCAACUAUGGACAUGACCAUAUAAAAGUGAUUCACCUCUGUUGGGCAAUGACUUCUGAAGGUUGAUGCAAUCUUUUGAUUGCCGGUUUUGAUUGUUCUGAGUAGCGUGUACUAUAGGAGUUGCAUGAUGUGAAUCGGUUUAGCCAUCGUUUCAUUUUGACUGUGUUGGUGCUAGUUGAGAUGGAUUAAGCUUAUAUGGAAUGGCAUCUGCAUGUUACUCCUAAAGACCAUGGAGCAACUAUUAUGCUAUUUUGGAUGAUAUGUUGACAAUAUAUGCAUUAAUCUUAUGUUAAAACCCUAAAGAUUCAGUCAAGUAAUUGCAUUUGUCAGUUUCAUCAGUAAAGGAAACAGAGCAAGCAAGUGGGAAGUAGAGGAAGGCUUCGUAAUUGCGUCAAUCUCCAUGGCAGUGCUUAUCUGCACCUAAUUCUAAGUAAUCGAGGUACCACCUACUAGCUUAUUCGUGUUUUUGUUUUGAGUCGUAUUGUUCUUGUUUUAUCUUACUCAGAUUUCCUCCCCAAAUUCACUGUAUCCUGUUAAUCGAAGGCUAGGGGAUCAUAUUGUUGCUAUGUUUACAUUCUGGUAAAAUGUAGCUUAUAUGAACUAGUAGAAAUAAUCAGCCAUUUCAGCUUCAGCUUCAGCUUAUCAGCUGGCUUAUCAACCACCGAACAAUAUUUUUCUCUCACAUCAAAUCAGCCGUUUCAACUUUUCAGCCGGCUUAUAAGUCCAGCCGAACACUCGGCUUAUAAUGUCUACAGUUUAUCUAUUGCUGCAAGCGAAUGGAAAAUCUCCAUUCACAAGCAAUAGGCAGCCAAUAAAAAAUCCCCAUGUGGGAAGCAAAACGCAUGCGCGUAGCUUCCAAACUGCCGAAGGGUAAUUACCCCUACGGGCGCUAUCUUCCCCGUUGGUGGAGGGAGAUUUUGUUUGCAAGAAAAUUCCCCGUGAAUUAAUUUAGCCCUAACGCCGUUGCUUUUCCACGGGAUAACAUAUUAAUCUCCUUGCUAAUCACACAUGUUAAGCAAGCAUGGCCGGCCACCUUCAUGACUAGUUGCUGCUGCAUUCCGUAGCCCCAAAUGAGUAUUAGACUACCCCAAGGUCAAGCAGCUGCACAACAUCCUUCAAUUGACGCUUGAUACUUCUGUUUUCUUUACUUAAUUUCUUCACGCCCCCUAUCUCUAGAUCCUGACUCCACCCCUACCAUCCCCACCUUAAUUUAACAAUAGUUCAGUUAAGACUAUGUAAUAAUCUUACUAAUCACUGCUUAAUCAUGUCUAAUGUUGAGUCAAUCACUAUAAUAGAUCGGUGUGAAUCGGUUCCAUUAAUUUUCCAGAUAAAUUUUUAUGGGAUAGGUAAUUUAACGGAUUCACUGAAUUUUUCGUAGACUUUAUAUCUAUGACUCAGUAUAUUAGAUUGCUAUACCUUUGACUCAGCAUAUUAGAUCGCUAAGCAGGGAUUAGGCAGAUGAUUACGUGGUAUAAACUGCCAUUAGAUGGCACUAAACUAUUGUUAAAUUAAGGUGGAGAUGAUAAAUGCACUGGUUUAGUUAGUUAAGGGGUUUAUUAAUAUAAGGGAUGAAAAUGAAAAAAUACGUUUUCCAAAUCCAAAUGAUAAAUGGCGUGUUUUUUAGGAAUUUUUUUUUGAGUGUAUCAUUUGGAAUUUGUGGUUCGUCACGAAAGUAACAAGAGUCUUCGAAGGCCUGGUGUAGGCCCAGUAUAGAUUAAGUAUGGGCUCCAUUUAUUCAUAGAGCCCUGCUCAAAUCAGACCUUCUUAUUCCAUCAUAUAUAUCGUGGAUUCAAAUCACGUCUUAAAGCCCAUUAAUAGCCCAGUGAAAAUAACCAUACCAAAGUACCAAACAACAACAAUUCAAUCGGCGUUCAGCAACAACACCGGAGGAGCACCCACCAAACUAACUACUAAUCCAGGAACGUUUGCAGGAACUCGAUCACCUUGUCAACGUCAGAAGGCAGGACGUCCUUCGCCGCAUCCGCCGCGGCGAACCGCUCGCCCCACGCGGCCAGGAGCGGCGUCCUCGCCGCGUCCAGGACCCUGACGCCGACCAUCUUCUCGAACACCUUGAACCACCCGAGGUAACUGCCCAGCACGACGUCCACGAACCCGAUGCCGUCGCCGCCGAAGUAGUCACCCCCACGGGAGCAGUCCUUGAACGCGCCCUCCAGCGUCCCCAGCGCCGUGAUGAUCCGCGCCGCCGCGUCAGCCUUCUUCUCGGCCUCCCGCGCGAAGAGGAUCGUGUGCCACGGAGAACCCACCUGCGCACACAUCAUGCUUGUCUGAGCUCCACACAGCAAGGAUCGAGAUGAAAUGUGGCAAAUACCUUAUCGUCGACAAAGGCGGCCCAGAAGCGGGCGGUGGCGCGCUUGUACGGGUCGGCGGGGAGGACGGAAGGGCCGGUGCCGGAGAAGACCUCGUCGAGGUACUGCACGAUGACCUGCGACUCGGCGAUCGGCUUGCCGUCGUGGAUGAGCACGGGAACUUUCUUGUGCACGGGGUUGGAAUUGAGGAGGAGCUUGCUCUUGUUGAGGAGAUCCUCCUCGAUGUACUCGUAGCUGAUGCCCUUGAGGUUGAGCAUGAUCUGCACCCUGUUCACGUAGGGGCUGUCCCACACGCCCAGCAGCUUCAGCUCACCUCCCUUUGCGGCCAUUGCCAAGCACCCAAGCUCGAUCGAUCAGGCUAGCUAGCUAUUCUGGAUGUUGUGCAGCAGUAGCGCAGAGGAUGUAGUGGAGUCUGUGGGAGUGGUUACAACUUACAACUCAUAAAUACUUGCAGACAUUCACGAGGCUAUGAUUGCACGUUAGGUGCCAGUGCGCAAACUUUUCCUCCACAUAAUUGGAUUAUUCAGGUCGUAAGAAUGAAAUGAAUGAACCUGCCAAUGCAACAAAGUAUGCGGCACAGCUUUCGUUCAGAGAAGUACGUGGUCCAGCUUGCAUCCAGCCGUUUUGGAGAAAAAUGAAAGGCACCGGAAACCACCGUACUAGCAGCAUGCUGGCGUCGCCGUCAGACCAGAUCUGCUGCGGCAUGCUCUGUCUUUGCACGCCUUGCACGUAGCUCUCUCCAAUCUCCACGGCAACCAAUCCAGUCUGCAGGGGUGCAACCAGAGGCGCUCGAUGGCGGGAUCAAAUGAUCUGGAGCGUCGAACAAGGAGAACAGAGACAGGCAAAGGGAUGGGCUAGCUGUUUCAGGACCAUGCAGUGGCAGAGUUGGAUCAUUCGAUCAAAAGGACGAUCCCGGCUUGUUGGUUGGUAAGAUUGGAUAAAUUAUUACUUGUGGCUGAUGAAUGUACGUGCAGGCGUGCAGCCGUGCAGUUGCCCACAUCAAAAGAUUCCAUUGGAGGACAAUAUUAUCAGGUUGUAGUAUAGAGUAUGAACUGUUUUUUGGUAUGGGUAAAAUUGUAAUUAGAACGACAUAUAUUAUUCGGGAUUUUUUUUUUCCGCACGCUAUUUUUCCCGCACGAUCUCAUAGCACGCCGCGCCGCCCGUCGAUGGAAAUUGUGAUAACACUGUGAACAUGAAGUUCCGCUGCUUGCAUCGCAUCAGCAUUGCAGGCAUUCAACAGUCUAUGGUGUUGCCAGCUUUGCCAUCAGGAGCAGGGAGAUAACGCGCAAUGCUGGUCGUGCGCGCUGCCUCGUGGAUGGCCGGAGCACUCUUCCUUGGUCUACUCUAGCACGGCGCCCUUCGCCGCCGCCUGGUACGAAACGAGGAGGACGAGAAGGAUCUCGCGCUAAUGACUGGACGAGAAGGAUCUCACGCUAAUGACUCGCCAUCACAGGCCAACGCGGUGAAUUUGCCCCGUCGCAUGUCCGAUGGGGACAGUGUACGUUGGAUGGAUGACGACGGCGCCGGCCGCGUUCGCUGUGGUGUGGUAUCGCUGAUGGAAGUUUGCAGAUUGAUUAUUGAUCGCGAUCUGCCGGUGCCGAUGAAUCGUCGGCGCCAUGAAGAGAGUAAGGAAAGAUUUGAUAUAUUUCAACAAUGCCAUUAAACAUAUUUCCAAUCAUCCCCCUAUACUACCCAUACUACUGAUGCAUACUAUCUAUACUACCGCUUAAUGUUUUAGUAGUAUAUGAUUAUUCUCGACCGUCGGAUCCUUACAUACGAGUCCUUUUCGAACAGUAGUAUAAGGUAGUAUUGUGUAUCGUAAAAGUUCUUCUUAUAAGGCUAAGCAACAAACAUGACACCAGUUAAAAUUUGGCCACGGGGAACACGAUCUUAUAUUAAUACGCAGGUUCCAGAUGUUGCUUCUUCACUUUGCACAAAUAAAUACCAAAGGUGAUAUUCUCAUCUCACAUAUAUGGUUAGAACCAGCUGAAGCCGAUUGAAGCGUUCUUGAUACAUUAUUGCACAUCUCAAGCACAAAUUGGAUUUCAUUGGGGAAACAUUGCUCCACUGAGGCGCUCCGCGGACGCUUUAUCAAAACAGGUCACCCGAAAGUAAACUGAGGCACGCAAGUGUUAUUUUAUCUGCUCAAUUGUUCCUUUUUUUUUAACAAUGUCAACUCUGCUAAUUGCUUAUUUGUUUUGCGCAAUUGCUCUUGUUUUGGGUCUGGCAACAGUAUUGUUGCUGGCCUGUAAGUAGCACUGGUAUGGGGAUAUGCUAAUAUUAGCCCUACAUAUUUUAUUUUUGAGGCGAACAGCAGGGAGGCCCUACAUAUGAACUCCCUCCCUUGAAUUUUUGGGCUUAUGAAGCAUGAGCAAAAACCAUUCCGGCCCUGUACAAUUAGUGAAGCUUUGGAAUGUUCCACUUCUUCCUCAUAAUGUCAAUAAUCUUGCUCUAGCAUGCGGGCGUGCUAGUGUGCUACUACUGCAUGGAAGGUGUCUUUAACACAAAUCUAAGCGAGCAGGUAGCAUCUUGAAUCAAAUAGCAAAUAUUAUGUUAUGUAAUACUCCCUCUUUUAUUUAUGUAAGGCGAAUUAGUAUUUGAAAAGUCUUUGCAUACACACUUUGACCAUUAAUUUCUCUUAGAAUACAUAGCAAUUAUAGUUACAAAAUCAAUAUCAUAUUGAUGAAGGUACGUGAAAUAUGAAUCUAAUGGUACAACUUUUAGACACUAAGCAUGUAUAUAAUUUAACUAAUUAUUGAUCAAAACUUACAAAGUUUGACUUUUCCAAAUAAUAUAUAAUACACCCUAAAUAAAUAAAGAAAACUAAGUAGGUGUGUACAAACAUUUUUGUAGAUAAGUAGUGCAAGCUAAUUCAACGUUUCAUUUUUAUAAAGAAUAGCGAAAUCAUAGCUCACGAAAUAAUGUAUGUGAGAUUACAGACGACACCAACGAUUGAUCUACCGAGAUAAUGUAUGUGAGAUUACAGAUGACACCGGAGGUAUGAUAUUUGUUGAUGAGGUUCAGCCGAAGCUUACAUUCUCGGGGCAUGACUACUGGUGCUCCUCCCAAACCGCAACAUCGAUCGCUCCAGGGUCUCGGCAAUACGCCACCUCCCCCCUGUGAGCCUAUCGUUAUGUUGUCAUGGUUACAACAGCAGUCCUCUCUCAUAUUUAUGAGGAGCCCGAGUCACAAGAGUUCAACUCAUAUUCUACACCCUACCGCUAAUACAACUCCAAGUCCAAACGUAACCAACUAGUACACAAUAUUCAACACAAUUCUAACAAACUCCACCUUGGCGAAUGUUCACUAUCUUGAAGCUGUCAUGCGUGAACAUCCGUAUACACCAAACUUGGGUUGUUGACUUUGUAGCUCAAGAUGAGCCACCCGAUGAGAUUGGCUUGGCCUUAGACCUGCAGCCUUCAGAAGACACAGCUAUCCCUGCAACUCCAUCUUCCAUGACUCCAACCUGCAACUGUGCACCCUUGAAGCUUGUACAGAUGCGAUGCCGUCCUCUCUCCUAUCAUCACAGCCUCGUCUCCCUUCAUGAUCUUCAUGGUCUUCCCAUCCGGCUCAGCCUGGAAUAACAUACCAUCAUCAUGUAGAGCUCCAAGCAAAAUUAGAUUCCUACGCAGCCCCGGCACUUGCCUAACACCCCGAUGCACCUGCUCAACUCCAUCUUGCGUCUUGAUCUUGAUGUCGUCUACUCCAAUAGCACAGUAACCCGUCUCAUCACCCAAAUAGGCUAAGCCAAAAUCACCAGACUUGUGCGUUGCAUGAAAAGAGCUAGCUAAAUCUAACACCCACACUUCAGUUGACUGCACGUUGUCUGAUAUCGAGAGAACAUCAGUAUCGUUGUCCGAGUCACUCUUAGAAAUUGCAACAUUAGCACUUGCCUUUUUAUUAUUUUCUGGAUAAUCCCUCCUUACAUGUCCUAACUCACCGCAAUCAAAGCACCGCACUUUCUUCUUCUUCUUUUCCUUCACCUUCUUCUUGCUAUGCUCACCUUUGACCAGCAAUGCAUCACCCAGAGGUCCAUCCACUGCAUUGUUCUUUCUUCUUUGUUCCCAAGCCAAUAAUGAUGUAGUAAUAUCCUCAACUUUGAUGCUUUCCUUGCCAUACAUCAAAGUCGUGAUCACGUGCUCAUAAGAUGACAGAAGUGAACACAGAAGAAUAAUUGCCUUGUCUUCAUUAUCAACCAUCACAUCUAGUUGCUCUAGGUCCGUGACCAUCUGACUAGAAAAAUUGAUAUGCUCUGCAAGAUCCGACCCUUCCAGCAUCUUCAGCCCAUACAACUUCUGCUUCAGAUUCAGCUUGGUCAUCAUAGUUUUUGACAUGAAUUGAGUUUCUAGCUUGUCCCAGAUUUGCUUCGGUGUCUUUAGUUCUAUGACAUGGUGCAUGACCUGGUCUGAUAGACAUAGCCAUAUGGUUGCAGCCGCUAGCGUCCGUUUCUCCUCCUAGUCAUCCUGCUCCAUCUUCUAUGGCUUCUUCUCCUUUAAGCCCGCCAAGUUCCCCUGUUGUGUCAACAGAUCCUUGACCCUUACCUACCAUAAUCCAAAGUUGCCAGAGCCAUCAAACUUCACCACCUCAAAUCUGCCUACUGUCGACAUUCGGCCGACACGCAGUUUGACCGAUCCUUUGUCGCCGGUACAACCGCUCGAUCUGUCUGACUUGUCGGUUGGUUCAAUACUGUCUGGUACUACCUCUCUGUUGUCUGACCUUGCUAGGCUGCCUACCAAUGAGAAGCUUCACUUGCAAAUAGCUGCACACGAGACUCCUUGGCCCACAAUCAAGCACCUCCAAACAGCUCCCGCGCAAAUUGCAAAGAGUCUCUUUACGAUCUCUACAUUGCCUUGCGCGUUUCCGCUUGCCUCGAUUGCCUUUCUGCCAAGCAACACCAUGUCCUCAGGUUUUAUAUCCACGCAUGACCCAACCCGAUCCGACUCUACUCGCAACACAGUAGUCCGAUUCCUGGCCCUGCACUCCUUUCCAAAUGGAACCGUACCAUCCGAGCAAUGUUCUCGUUCCAGCAAGCCCUCCCGACAAAACAGGAAAAAGAAAUCCGCCUCGAAAUCCUUGCUGAACCGCCUCUGGAAGCUAAAUCGUCACGGUCAAGACUAAGACCCCAUUUGGUAAAGCUCCGGCUCCUCCAAAACGGCUUCAGCUUCGGCUCCUUUGGUAGAGUGGCUUCUCUAGUGGAGCUGAAGUCAUUUUGCAAAAUGUUUGGUAAAACGGCUCAAUGGCAAUAUGAGUAAUUUUAUGAUCACUUAAUGUUUGGAGAGAGAGGAGAAGCUGGUGAAACCACUAUUUUUUGGCUCCUCCUCUCUAGUGUAAGGUGCCGUUUGGUAGAGUUUUAGCUCCUUCCAAAAUGGCUUCGGCUCUAGCUCCUUUGGUGGAGUGGUUUCUCUAGUGGAGCUGAAGCCGUUUUACAAAAUAUUUGAUAAAACGGCUUCUCAAUGGCAAUAUGGGUAAUUUUAUGAUCACUUAAUACUCGGAGACAUAUGAGAAGCGGGUGAAGCCACUUUUUUAACUCCUCCUCUCUAGUGUAAGCCGUUUUGCAGCUUCUCCACGGUCUCGGUGAUGGAGCCAUUUUGAAAUUGCCCCUUUGGUAAGGCUUCACCAAAAGCCGGUGGAGAAGCACUUUUAGAAGCCCUACCAAACGGGGCCUAAGCUGUUUUGUGGCUUCUCCCCGACUUCGGUGGUGGAGCCAUUUUGAAAUUGCCCCUUUGGUACGGCUUCACCAAAAACUGGUGGAGAAGCACUUUGAGAAGCCUUACCAAAUGGAGCCUAAGCUUUCCAAUUAAAUCCUUGUAACAACACAACCUAGGUCCUAUAUUGUCUCCGACAUGCACGUACCCUGCAUUAUGCACAAACAAACAAGGAAAACAAGACUCCAAGUCCUUCACGCUAGGCACCUGGGUUGUUCCAAACUCCAUCUCACUGCAUCUCACCUUACAAGUCGCGAUAGUCCAGGUCUUUCAUGGUUCACCAUGGCCUCUUCCUAUGUACUUGUCGCUCAUGACACUAUACGUCCGCCAACAUCGCCAUAUGUGCUCUGCCGUGAGCUUCGCCUUGCGCUCUCUGUACACAGCCCCAACUGUUGCAGCUGCGCUCUCAUGCACCACCUGUGCAUGAAUGUGCUGUACCACUCAUAUCGUCGACACAAUCAGCUUGUCAUGCCACAAAUACCGCCUUUAUACAACACCGGUCACAUCACCGUUAUCAUGAUGCUCCCACGCUCCAAUCUAUCCAGCCAUCACCUGCGUUUGGUCGCCGGUAUGAUCCCAAGCCGAAGCUGCCGCCCUAUUCGUGUCGUCUUCAAUGGCCAUUGUGUUGGUCCAAUCACCACGUCUAGUCGAUCCUCACCAACUGUAGCCCGUCAAACUAUCCAAGAAGUCUUUGACACCACCGAUCGAAUCGCCGAUCGCCGCCAUGCUCCACCUUGCACCGCAUCGAGCAGUUCCGCAAUGCUCGUUGAGCAUAUCCUCGCGUCUCCAUGGUGAUCUCCAUACUGUCUCUAGAUCCAAUCUAACCAUAGCUCUGAUACCAUGUGUUAGAAUAAUAGCACGCGGAAGCAAUGAUUGAUCUACUGAGAUAAUGUAUGCGAGAUCACAGCUGACACCGGAGGCACGAUAUUUGUUGACGAGGUUCAACCAAAGCCUAUAUCCCGGGGCAUGACUACAGACGCUCCUUCCCAAACCGCAACACCGGUCGCUCCAGGAUCCCGGCAAUACGCCUCCUCCUAUGAGCCUGUCGUUAUGGUUACAACAACGAUCCUCCUCUGUGUUACAAGAGUGUGGCGGAAUACCUCGGAUUAACUCAACUAAAGCACAGUUAAGUCGCCUAAUACGCGAUCCUCAUGCUUUAAUCAAGUUAACUCGAUGUGCCGUCGAAUUUCAUCCGAUUUAACCACUUAACAGGACCGAGUUAGCAUAACUCAUACGAAGGUGAGUGGUUCCAGAGAAUACAACAGAUCCACAAAGGGGUUUAGCAAUUCAUUACACACUGGUUGAAAUCAGAGUUUUACAAGGUUCCAAAGAAAACAACAGACGGCAAAAACAUCGAGGAAGCUAGCGUCGGGGUCGGAUGUCCCUGGUGAGGCCAGCCAGGACAUCAAUGAUCCCAUUCCCCACCGUCCGAGGAAGGAUCCCACUCGACUGUCCACCUCGGAGGAAGCUGGGGUGGCCAAGUGCCAGCAGCAAGCUCCGAAGUUUCAACUUCACCUGAAAAGAGAUGCCACAACAAGGCUGAGCUUCUAAGCUCAACAAGACUUAAUCGACCGGUGAAAAACUACUUCACCACUUCUAGACAUGCAUGGCUCUUUGGCUGAGGGGUUUUGUUUGCCAAAAGCAACUGUGUUAGGUCCUUACUUUCAAGGUUUUAGCUCAGAUUCUAAGUUCAUUAACCAGUCUACAUUGACAACUUACACUAAGCAAGCAUAGAUCCAACAUUACGUAUAUAAGCUUAACAUCAAGGCCAUGUCAUCAUCAGACUCCUUCAUUACUCAGUGUAGCAUAGCGAUCAAGCAGUCUCAAAUUAUGAGAGGCAGACGAAUCGAUUCGAGUUCUUUAACCAUGCAUGGUGAACCUAACCUCACGAUAUCCGCGCACCAUCGAGGGUUGCUUCCUGUGUCGGCCUUCCCCAUCAAUUCCCUAACCCGUGUCGGGCCCACUUUCCUUGGUGCAAGGUUCCACAAACCCGGCCUCUGCUGUUCUGUGACCACACUUGCCACCACGUGUGGCCGCAGGGGAACUUUGUUCCAGAGACAGUGGAUCGAACCGCUCACGUUUAGGUUCAAUCAGGUACUAGGCUUCCCCAUCCCAUAAUGGGUAUGAGAUUAGUACUUUCAAACACUUGGUCACGAACACCACCACUGUCAGACCUUAACAGAUUCAAUAAACAGACGGGGUGAUCAGCCGACCACCAAAAGAGUUAACCAUAACCCUGCCCCGUCCAUCGUCCUUAUAGUUAUAACUAGAAGAGAACAUCCAACUCCUAUAACUCGCGAGUGACAGGAAAUCACUCGACUUUUACCGAGUCCUAUUUAAGCAUUGCAACUACUCGGACCCAACAGACUAGUGUUCAGAUCAAAGGGACUAAGUCAUGCAUCUAGGGUUGCAAACAACUCCUAUACGUAAAUGCACAUUCAUAAGAAGGAAAGCAUGUGCAAGUUUAGAAAGUUGGGUUCAUGCUCCGGGGCUUGCCUUCAAGCGGAGUGGAGGUGAUCUGGUCUUCAGCAGGGUCUGCUUUGGCUUCUGGGAUUGGCGGCUCUGCUACAGAUCCGUCUUCAGGCGCCGGAUGUAGCUCGUAAAUGCCAUCGGUGAGAUGUAACUCUACAUGAAUGCAAUGCAGGAGUUAGCACUUAGACGGUCAUUUUAACAACACUUGCAAGUUUAAGCUUAGACACAUGUAGCAAAGCUACAGGAGAGGGUGGGGGAGAACAGGAUAAAAGGGUCGGAUGGGGAUAAACUUAUGAUCUGACCCCUCAAACUUGAGGAAUAACUGUGCCGGUCCUCAGACUUAACGCAGAGAAGUCCCCAAUAUUUUGCACAGAUACCCUCGGGUCAAGAAAAAGAUACAGCCGAGCCCUCGGGCGAGGUGGAUAAGGGUCGACGAAACAGGCAGGGUCAGGCGAGACGGAAAAGGGGUCGGCAGCUUACCUUCAGGUCUACUGGUGAAGCUUUGGGGUCGGGAAGGAACAGACUUGGGCGGAAAGACUAGAGCACUAAGGCUGAGACGACGGCGAGGUUUGACGGUGCUCCGGCGGCGACGGAGCUUCUUGUGGGCAACAAGAAAGCUCUAGCACAGCGCGGAGGAGUAGCCGGCUGGUGGGUUAGGGAGAAGCGGGUUUGAGCGGAGAGGGAAACUUCUCAAGAGUUCGGCGGGAGUGCUCAAGUGCGCUCAGAGUAGGGGCGGCGAAACAGCGAUGGCGAAGGAAACUCCGGUAGGACUCUGGCAUGCCUUUUUAUAGCUGCGCGGAAGAGAGAGAGUUUGAGCAGCACGAAGACCGGUAAGAAAAGGAUGGAGUGCGCUGCCAUGGCGGCGAUUGAGCGGUGAUGGGCGGCGGAACAGGGCCUUGGAGACAGGAUCUUUGGCUAUUGGGCACUGGAGACAAGGUUGGCGCAGGCGCGGCUUUGCCGGGAUUUAGAUCUGGCGAAGGCGAGCGUGGUCUGGUCACGUCAAGCGACGGAGUGUGGGUGGCGGAUUUGACUGGCGUGUGACAAGGAGGAAGGCGGUGCAAGCGAGGUUGCAACAGGCGAAGUGACAGGGCGAGCAGCGGCGCGGGAGAGUGCUAAACAGCGGCUUGCCGGGGCACAUCACUGGCGAGGUAGGAAAAAGGAGCUGUCUCUGCCGGAGUCAGGGUUGGCGAGAGCGGUAUCGUCGUGGAGCGAGCUCGUGGGCGGCGUGAAUGUGGAGAGGCGGAAAACCCGGAAGGCAUUAGGGCUUGCAGCCGGGGAUCCGGCGAGAUGAUGGGCGCGGGUCGCGAGGCGGUCUGACGCAGCAGCGGCAAAGUUCUGCCACGAUGGUGACGGGGCACCUUGGCGCGGUCGGUGAGGGCGCGAGCGAGACGAUGCGAGGCAGAAAGGGUUGCAGGGGGUUGCCGCUGCGAUUGGGGAGGAGGGCGCGCUGAUCCAUCCUGUCGCGACCGGCGACUGGGCGAGGCGGCGGGCGUCGGAGGAGUUGAGCCAUGCAGCGGGGAAGCUCUGAAACGACGCAUGCUGCUCAGGCGCGUCUGUCUCGAGAGAACCGGGGAAAAGAUUGCGGAUCCACCAGUUAGUCUCGGGUUCUCCACUGCUCCAAGAUUGGAAGGAAUACUGCCUUUAGACUCAGAGUUGAACCGGCGGUUUUGGUUUGAGUUUUCAGGGAUCGGGGCUGAGAACCGGAUUUUGAGCGCUCAAGCUCAGGAAGGCUGAGUCAGCGGGAUUAGGGACUCGGGUUAAGAUUAACUCGGCUGAUUAACCGAGGUCGUUACAAAGAGUCCAACACAUACUCUACACGCUGCCGCUAAUACAAUUUCAAGUUCCAAUGUAAUCAACUAGUAUAUAAUAUUCGACACAAUUCUAACACAAGCGAAGGCUCAGACAAGUUAAGGGGGUGUUUGGAUACGAGGUGUUAAACUUUAACAGUGUCACAUCGGAUGUUCGGAUGAUAAUUAGGAGAACUAAACAUGAGCUAAUUAUAAAACUAAUUGCAGAACCCUGUGUUAAUUCGCGAGACGAAUCUAUUAAGCCUAAUUAAUCCAUCAUUAGCAAAUGGUUACUGUAGCACCACAUUGUCAAAAUCAUGGACUAAUUAGGCUUAAUAGAUUCGUCUCGUGAAUUAUACUCCAUCUGUGCAAUUAGUUUUGUAAUUAGCCUAUAUUUAAUACUCCUAAUUAGCAUCCAAACAUCCGAUGUGACGGGUGUUAAAGUUUAACAGCUGGUUGCCAAACAGGCCCUUAAAUAAAAGAAGAUAAUCAAGCAGGAAGGGAUCGGAAGGACAGUAGUACCGAGCAGCGGCCGGAUCCACCAAUACAAGACGCAGCUCCACACAUGCUCAUGGCGCUCGUACGCGUUGGCUACUGUUCUCCGCAAUAGAGUGCGUCUGCGUGGGGGACGGCGCCCGGUGGGCUUCCCAAAUCACAAUCGGUCCUCAAACUCGCACCCAGUCAGAAGUUGAGGUGGGUUCGGGUCAGACUGUUCUAGCACUAGUAUUCGCCAAUGAAGAAAAUUGGUGGCACCCUGUCGAAGUUUUUGUCGUUAUGCUGGAAAUAUUCAGACGUAAGAUCGUUGCCUUUGCACGUCCGGUUGUUCAUUUGGCAGACCAAGACCGUCAGUCACUCUCCGCUCUUACCAUGUCCUGGUGUCUCUGUCAACCUUUCUGAACUAUGCACCUCUAAACGGAUGAGCUCUGUACUUGAGAAGCUUGUAUUAGGCGUUCACGUCUUCUUUUUUUUUUCAGACAAACGGGAAACGUUGGCCUGAAUUUAUGGAAGAUCAACGAGAACUCAGGUUGUAAUGCCGGCCUUUUUAAAAAAAAUCUUUUAUGGAAUAUCAUAAUGAAAAACUGCAAAAGUACAAAUAAAAGCUAGACGCCUCAAUUUAUUGUACAAUAGAACGCUCACCAGAAUGGCAGACUCACAUAAUCACACUUGAACAUUCACUUGGCAAUCCCAUCAUGGCUAACCAACAUCUUUAUUUGUUUCUUUUCUUACACGACUCAAUCCGAACCAAUUCGCUUAGCGGCAGCGGCAGCGUAAGCGGCGAGGAGCUUAUUGGCGUACUGCACGGCCACGUCCACCUCCGGCACCACUUUCUUCACCUCCGCACUUUCCCCGAACCGCUCCGCCCACGCUGCCAAGAGGGGAACCUUGUUUGCGCUAAUGAUCUCGACUCCAUACAUCGUGCGCACCGCAUCGAACCAGAACAAGAAGGAGCCGAGCACGAUGUCGAGGUACCUGAUGGAGUCGCCUCCGAAGAAAGCCUUGCCCUUGGAGCACUGGGCGAAGGCUUCCUCCAUUUGCCCGAUCGCAGCAGAAGUCUCCGUCACCUUCUCUGCCCUCUCGUCCUCCGUCUUGGCCAUCACGAUGCCAAACCACGCCGGACAUAGCUUGUCGUCGACGAAGGCGGCCCAGAAGCGAGCAGUGGCGCGCUCGUAGAGAUCGGUGGGGAGUAUGGACGGGCCGGCAAACAGCUCGUCGACGUACUGCACGAUGACGAGCGAUUCACACAGCGGCUUACCG